This 254-nucleotide ribosomal RNA is filed under the name uncultured bacterium. RNAcentral describes it as "partial 16S ribosomal RNA". It matches the Rfam family "Bacterial small subunit ribosomal RNA", at positions 524 to 776 of the family's 1533-position model. The record is from RNAcentral.
GACGUAGGAGGCGAGCGUUGUCCGGAUUCAUUGGGCGUAAAGAGCACGCAGGCGGUUUGGCAAGUCGGAUGUGAAAACCCACGGCUCAACCGUGUGGUCUGCAGUCGAUACGGGCAGGCUAGAAUUCGGUAGGGGAGACUGGAAUUCCUGGUGUAGCGGUGAAAUGCGCAGAUAUCAGGAGGAACACCGGUGGCGAAGGCGGGUCUCUGGGCCGAUAUUGACGCUGAGGAGCGAAAGCGUGGGGAGCGAACAGG